UGUCGCGGCAGCUGUACGCGGGAUACUUUCGGGUAUGCCGGUUUUGUUCUUUGGGCCGGUCGGUCAACCCGCGUACAGCUGCCACCCUC
This 89-nucleotide non-coding RNA is filed under the name Pseudomonas sp. SJZ094. RNAcentral also lists the same sequence under 1 other name. The record is from RNAcentral. Lineage: Bacteria; Pseudomonadati; Pseudomonadota; Gammaproteobacteria; Pseudomonadales; Pseudomonadaceae.